ACAAUAACAAACAUUAAGAAACUCCAUCUUAUCAUUAUGCAUUUUGAAGGAUUAGAUCUUAAUAAUUGUUGUAUUAGGAUAGGUGAGGGUAACAGUAGUAAUAAUAAAAGAAAGCCAGAUGAGGCAUGACUGUGAACUAGGCAGCCUCACAAGAGAAAUUAUGUAUUUUAAAACUUGCUUAAAAAUAAUCAAAAUAAUCAGACUAAACAUGUUUUGUGGCUGAGAUUUGAGGUUUCUAUGGUAAAGAAAAUUUUGGUUAUAGUCUUGUAAGCUGUAAUGCUAUGUAGUCUUACUACAAGUGGUUACUAAUGUUUUGAAGGAAUGUACAGCCUAUUAAACACUGGUUAUCACAUACAAGACCAUAAAGCAUCACAACCUAGACUCUACAAUGCAUAUUUUGUAAUCAUAACAAAUGACAAGGAUAACUAACUCCAUGCAGCAGAAUCAUCUUGAGAAGCUAAUAGUUACUUAGCUAGCCAAGAAAUUUCCUGUCCUUUAUGAAACCUAAGAAUACCAUGUUCACCAGAACCCCACCACUGGUCCCUAUUCUGAGACAAAUGAAUUGAGUUCACACCUUCUUACUUUUUUCUAUAAGGUUCAAUUUAAUAGUAUGUUUCAGAGGUCCUUGCUUAUUCCAUCAUCAAGGCAAUUAGGAGGCAGCAAGGAACUAUGAAAUAUCAGUAAACUUCUACCAGACUACAUAGCGCAACAAACCAGAAAACAGCCAUCUUCAAACUCACCACCGUGAAAACUUCAAAUCCUACAUAAUUCAUUCUUCCCUUACAAAAAUGUAAACCACGAUGGCAGUGUUAUGAAAUCAAUGUACAACUUCCAGAUUUGUGGCAGUAAUUAACAACCCACCUAUAUGAAAUUUGAUACAGAGAUCAUAAACAUGCCUACAAGUUCCAUCAUAUGUACUCUGCAAGUUAAAAAUUGAAAAAUAUCAAAAGCAUGAAACUCAGAAUAUAUCCAAUAAAUUAAA
Long non-coding RNA from Zootermopsis nevadensis, 982 nucleotides. RefSeq lists it as uncharacterized. The record is from RefSeq and is a predicted model, not a curated record. Lineage: Eukaryota; Metazoa; Arthropoda; Insecta; Blattodea; Termopsidae.